Molecule: RNA transcript, 4102 nt
Organism: Acinonyx jubatus (cheetah)
Lineage: Eukaryota; Metazoa; Chordata; Mammalia; Carnivora; Felidae
Gene: RCCD1
Gene name: RCC1 domain containing 1
Exons: 11
Source: RefSeq, a predicted model, not a curated record
CUUUGCCUCGGGCCCGCGCCCACCGGAGGUUACCUCGUUCACACUGAGGGCGCAGCGGCCCAGCGCAAGCCCCGGGGCCGGCUUGACGGAACUCGAGCUGGACAGACCGCAGCGCUGGCCGCUGCCGGCGAGGUGGCGGCCAGCAGAGGGCGCCGCCCGGGCAUGGCCGAGGAGCGCCGAGGAUCCUGGUUCGGCUUCGGUUUCUGCGGCUUCGGGCAGGCGCUGGGCUCCGGGCGCGGGCGCCAGGUGCACAGCCCCGAGCCGCUGCAGACCCCGGGCGAGGGCGCGGACGUCUGCCGCGUGAGCGCGAGCUGGAGCUACACCGCCUUCGUGACCCGUGGAGGCCGGCUGGAGCUGUCGGGCUCCGCGGGCUGCGCGGCGGGCGGCUGCAGGGACGCGUGGGCCUCGGAGGCGCUCCUCGUGGUGCUGCGCGCCGGGCCGGGACGCGGGGCCGGGACGGAGCUGCAGGCCUGGGCGCCGGGUUCGGCGCUGAGCGGAGAGCCCCUGUGGGCCCACACCGUGGGGCCGGAGGCCGAGGGGGAAGACGCACCGGGCGGUGAGCCCCAGGCCGGGGCCCUGCCCCUGUUGCCCGGCGGGCGGGCCUACGUGAGUCCGCGGCCGCCCUUCUACAGCCCUCUGGCCCCCGAGCUGCGGGCGCGCCGGCUGGAGCUGGGCGCCGAGCACGCGUUGCUGCUGGACGAGGCGGGCCAGGUGUUCUCCUGGGGCCAGGGCCGGCAUGGACAGCUGGGCCACGGGACUCUGGAGGCCGAGCUGGAGCCGAGGCCGCUGGAGGCGCUGCAGGGCGUACCCAUGGCUGAGGUGGCUGCAGGGGGCUGGCACUCCGUGUGUGUGAGUGAGACUGGCGAUAUUUACAUCUGGGGCUGGAACGACUCCGGACAGCUGGCCCUGCCCAGCAGGAGCCUGGCAGAGGUUGGCAAGGCCGCUGCAGGGGAAGCCAGUGGACUGAAGGAAGACGGUUGUGACGUGAGGACAGCCGAGGGUGAGAGUGGAGGCCUGGCCCCCUUCAUAGCCAUCCAGCCCUUCCCCGCUUUACUGGAUCUCCCCCCGGGCACAGAUGCAGUCAAGGCCAGCUGUGGAUCCCGGCACACAGCAGUGGUGACCAGAACGGGGGAGCUCUACACCUGGGGCUGGGGUAAAUACGGACAGCUUGGCCACAAGGACACGAGCAGCUUGGAUCGGCCCCGCCGAGUGGAGUAUUUCGUAGACAAGCGGCUCCAGGACAUGUAUACGUCUAAGCAGCAUGGCGGACACAGACCAAAUCCAUGCUGGUGAGUUUUGAGAACCAUUGAACGUGCUGACAGAGGCAGACAAGAUAAGCUGGCUUACUCGCAGCAUCUCCCUGAAAACCGAAUCCAGGGUUCUCAGAAACUCGAAUGACAAGGAUGAACCUCUGAAGGUCUUCAUCAUUACGGAAUGGUGACAGUUAUGGUCUCCCAAGAUUAAUCCAAGACCUCAACCACAGGCACACAUCGAAGCCAGGUCCUUGACUGUCAUUAUCAAGUUAUUACUUGGGAUUAAGUACUGCCUUCUGGUCACACUUUCAGAUGGACUCAACCUGGAAGGUUCCCAAAGCCCUUUCCCAUCUGCAGGGCAGAAGGCGAAAGGUGGCCAAGAGCCCCAGCCUCAACAACGCCUCACAAACGGUGGUUCACAAAGCCUCACGUUCACCUUGCGCACUUUGCCCGGUGUGUUGGGUACCAGUCCUCGCCGCUUGCUGGGGGUUCGGGGAGCACUGCCAUAUAGCAUCUCUGUCUCUGUCUGCUUCUUGUUCUUUAGUUGCUGUGUGAAAGUCAGAAGGAACAGUGAAAACUCCCAGGAAAGGAACAGGUCUGGGAUAGGGCAGAAGUUGGGCCAGAUAUCUAGAGCCAAGUGCCUGAACCCAGAGCGAAAAGAGGUGCGGUGGGCUAGCCCUUCAGCCAACCCAGAUCCCUGGAAGAGACCCUGGGCUACUCACAUUACCAUCGUCCUCUUGCCCACACUGUGCUCACUUACUCUCUCUUGCUUGGCUCGCUCCUUCUCCAUUCGAUGCAUCUCCCAUUGUUCUGUCACAUACUCCAUGAAUUUCUGCCCAUUCACCACAAAUGCCUGCGAAUGCUCCUGUUCCCACAUUUCAAUCCGUGCCUUCAGCUCCUCUUCCAGCUGAGACCAUAAAGAAAGAAAUGUUAAUCACUUCAAAUCCUUGGUAUGAAGCCCGCAUGAAAGUAUUCUCCCAAAGGAAGACUCCCGCCCCAGAGCACGUAAGCCUAAUUUCAGGUAGCUGGACUCACGUGGGCCCAGGUCAGAGUGACCGGGAAGCAAAUCCUAGGGACGAUUUAUUCGUAACACACAUGAAGGUGGGAAACAGCAAGAACCCAGAGUCUAACUGGGUUUUGGUGCCUAAAGCUGGAGGCACUGGGGGGACAAGCAACAUUAAAUGAACAAUGUACAUUAUGGGGCGCCUGGGUGGCUCAGUUGGUUGAGCAUCCGACUUAAGCUCAGGUCAUGAUCUCGCAGUUCAUGAGUUCAAGCCCCGCGUCUGGCUCUGUGCUGACAGCUCGGAGCCUAGAGCCUGCUUCAGAUUCUGUCUCUCUUCCUCUCUCUGCCCCUUCCCUGCUCGUGCUCUGUCUCUCUCUCUCAAAAAUGAAUAAACGUUAAAAAAAUAUAUAUAUUAAAAAAAAAAACCACGAUGUAUAUUAAGAGCACCCCAAUCUGGGUCCCGAUCUAGAAUCUACCUCUUAUAGGCUAUGAAAAGUUACCUAAGUUCUCAGGGCCUCAGUCUCCUGAUGUAUAAAAAUGGAAAUGAAUAAAAUAGAACUACCCUACGACCCAGCGAUUACACUACUAGGUAUAUAUCCAAGGGAUACAGGUGUGCUGUUUCAAAGGGGUACGUGCACCCCCAUGUUUAUAGCAGCACUAUCAACAAUGGCCAAAGUAUGGAAAGAGCCCAAAUGUCCAUCAAUGGAUGAAUGGAUAAAGAAGAUGUGGUAUAUAUAUACAACGGAGUAUUACUCGGCAAUCGAAAAGAAUGAAAUCUUGCCAUAUGCAACAAUGUGGAUGGAACUAGAAAGUAUUAUGCUAAGUGAACUUAGAGAAAGACAAAUAAAUGACUUCACGCAUGUGGAAUUUAAGAUACAAAACAGAUGAACAGAUGAAGCAAAAAUAGUAUAAAAACAGGGAGGGGGGAAAAACAUAAGACACUCUUAAAUACAGAGAACUGAGGGUUGCUGGAGGGGCCGUGGGUGAGAGGAUGGGCUAAAUGGGGAAGGGGCAUUAAGGAAGACACUUGUUGGGAUGAGCACUGGGUGUUAUACACAUAGAGGAUGGAUCACUGGAAUCAACUCCUGAAAUCAUUACUGUACUACAUGCUAACUUAGAUGUAAAUUUAAAAUGAAUUAAUUAAGGGGCACCUGGGUGGCUCAGUCGGUUAAGUGUCCCACUUCAGCUCAGGUCAUGAGCUCAGGUUUGUGAGUUCAAGCCCCACAUUGGGCUCUGUGCUGACAGCUCAGAGCCUGGAGCCUGUUUCGGAUUCUGUGUCUCCCUCUCUCUCUGCCCCUCCCCUGCUCUGUCUCUCUCUCUCAAAAAUAAAUAAAUGUUAAAAAAAAAUUUUUUUUAAUAAAUUAAUAAAAAUUAAAAAAAAAUUUUAAUGGAAAUGACUAAAUGGAAAAUACUUUGGAAUAGUAUCUGGCACUUAAUUCAAUAAACACUAUUACUAUUAAAAUAGAGAACAGUAACAAAGCCCACAGCACUUUCUCAAAAGUUUGUCUUUUGUUAUAGGCUGAAUUGUAUCCUCCCAAAAUUCAUAUUUAAGUCCUAACCCCCGCCCCCCAAUACCUCAGAAUGUGACUUUUUUUUUUUCCCCACAAACAGGUAAUGAAGUUAAAUGAUAAAUGAGGUCAUUAGGGUCAACGUGACUGGUAGCUUUGUAAGAGAAAAAUCGGGACAUAGAUACAUACAGAAGGAAGACCAUGGAAAGAUAUAGGGAGGAAGAAAGUCAUCCUCAAGUCAAGGAUAGAGGCCUCCGAAGAAACCUACCCUACUGAUACUUUGAUCUCACACUUACAGCCUCCAGAAUUGUGAAAAAAUAAAUGUGUUGUUUAAGCCA